GCAUGCGAUCAUACCAGCACUAAAGCACCGGAUCCCAUCAGAACUCCGAAGUUAAGCGUGCUUGGGCGAGAGUAGUACUAGGAUGGUUGACCUCCUGGGAAGUCCUCGUGUUGCAUUCC
RNAcentral lists this ribosomal RNA (119 nucleotides) under Triticum dicoccoides. The record is from RNAcentral. Lineage: Eukaryota; Viridiplantae; Streptophyta; Magnoliopsida; Poales; Poaceae.